GAUGAACGCUGGCGGCGUGCCUAAUACAUGCAAGUCGAGCGAACGGACGAGAAGCUUGCUUCUCUGAUGUUAGCGGCGGACGGGUGAGUAACACGUGGAUAACCUACCUAUAAGACUGGGAUAACUUCGGGAAACCGGAGCUAAUACCGGAUAAUAUUAUGAACCGCAUGGUUCAAAAGUGAAAGACGGUCUUGCUGUCACUUAUAGAUGGAUCCGCGCUGCAUUAGCUAGUUGGUAAGGUAACGGCUUACCAAGGCAACGAUGCAUAGCCGACCUGAGAGGGUGAUCGGCCACACUGGAACUGAGACACGGUCCAGACUCCUACGGGAGGCAGCAGUAGGGAAUCUUCCGCAAUGGGCGAAAGCCUGACGGAGCAACGCCGCGUGAGUGAUGAAGGUCUUCGGAUCGUAAAACUCUGUUAUUAGGGAAGAACAUAUGUGUAAGUAACUGUGCACAUCUUGACGGUACCUAAGCAGAAAGCCACGGCUAACUACGU
RNAcentral lists this ribosomal RNA (496 nucleotides) under uncultured bacterium. RNAcentral describes it as "partial 16S ribosomal RNA". It matches the Rfam family "Bacterial small subunit ribosomal RNA", at positions 28 to 506 of the family's 1533-position model. The record is from RNAcentral.